GACGAACGCUGGCGGCGUGCUUAACACAUGCAAGUCGAACGGAAAGGUCUGCUUUACUUUGUGGAUUGCGGGUACUCGAGUGGCGAAUGGGUGAGUAAUACGUGAGUGAUCCGCCCCCAACUUGGGUAUAAGCCUGGGAAACUGGGUCUAAUUCCUGAUAGGACUGCAGGGUGGUGCCCGUGGUGGAAAACGAUUUUCUAGUGGUUGGGGAUGAGCUCGCGGGCUAUCAGCUUGUUGGUGGGGUAAUGGGCUACCAAGUCGGCGACGGGUAGCCGGCCUGGAAGAGUGAACGGCCACAUUGGAACUGGAAUACGGCCCAGGCUCCUGCGGGAGGCAGCAGUGUGGAAUGUUGCACAGUAGGCGGGAGCCUGAUGCAGCGACGCCGCGUGGGAGAUAGCGACGUUCGGGUUGUGAACUCCUUUCGACCGCGGUGAAGCCACCUUAUUGGAAAGGUGAAGGCGGUAGUGGGAAGAAGAGAACCGGCUAACUACCUG
This 494-nucleotide ribosomal RNA is filed under the name uncultured bacterium. Its description in RNAcentral is "partial 16S ribosomal RNA". It matches the Rfam family "Bacterial small subunit ribosomal RNA", at positions 28 to 507 of the family's 1533-position model. The record is from RNAcentral.